UCCUCUGACGUUAGCGGCGGACGGGUGAGUAACACGUGGAUAACCUACCUAUAAGACUGGGAUAACUUCGGGAAACCGGAGCUAAUACCGGAUAAUAUAUUGAACCGCAUGGUUCAAUAGUGAAAGACGGUUUUGCUGUCACUUAUAGAUGGAUCCGCGCCGCAUUAGCUCAGUUGGUAAGGUAACGGCUUACCAAGGCAACGAUGCGUAGCCGACCUGAGAGGGUGAUCGGCCACACUGGAACUGAGACACGGUCCAGACUCCUACGGGAGGCAGCAGUAGGGAAUCUUCCGCAAUGGGCGAAAGCCUGACGGAGCAACGCCGCGUGAGUGAUGAAGGUCUUCGGAUCGUAAAACUCUGUUAUUAGGGAAGAACAAAUGUGUAAGUAACUAUGCACGUCUUGACGGUACCUAAUCAGAAAGCCACGGCUAACUACGUGCCAGCAGCCGCGGUAAUACGUAGGUGGCAAGCGUUAUCCGGAAUUAUUGGGCGUAAAGCGCGCGUAGGCGGUUUUUUAAGUCUGAUGUGAAAGCCCACGGCUCAACCGUGGAGGGUCAUUGGAAACUGGAAAACUUGAGUGCAGAAGAGGAAAGUGGAAUUCCAUGUGUAGCGGUGAAAUGCGCAGAGAUAUGGAGGAACACCAGUGGCGAAGGCGACUUUCUGGUCUGUAACUGACGCUGAUGUGCGAAAGCGUGGGGAUCAAACAGGAUUAGAUACCCUGGUAGUCCACGCCGUAAACGAUGAGUGCUAAGUGUUAGGGGGUUUCCGCCCCUUAGUGCUGCAGCUAACGCAUUAAGCACUCCGCCUGGGGAGUACGACCGCAAGGUUG
RNAcentral lists this ribosomal RNA (829 nucleotides) under uncultured Staphylococcus sp. RNAcentral describes it as "bacterial SSU rRNA". It matches the Rfam family "Bacterial small subunit ribosomal RNA", at positions 82 to 896 of the family's 1533-position model. Lineage: Bacteria; Bacillati; Bacillota; Bacilli; Caryophanales; Staphylococcaceae. The record is from RNAcentral.